RNAcentral lists this ribosomal RNA (492 nucleotides) under uncultured bacterium. Its description in RNAcentral is "partial 16S ribosomal RNA". It matches the Rfam family "Bacterial small subunit ribosomal RNA", at positions 29 to 507 of the family's 1533-position model. The record is from RNAcentral.
AGUGAACGCUGGCGGUAGGCCUAACACAUACAAGUCGAACGGCAGGACAGUAAGAGCUUGCUCUUACGGGUGGCGAGUGGCGGACGGGUGAGGAAUACAUCGGAAUCUACUUUUUCGUGGGGGAUAACGUAGGGAAACUUACGCUAAUACCGCAUACGACCUACGGGUGAAAGCAGGGGAUCUUCGGACCUUGCGCGAUUGAAUGAGCCGAUGUCGGAUUAGCUAGUUGGCGGGGUAAAGGCCCACCAAGGCGACGAUCCGUAGCUGGUCUGAGAGGAUGAUCAGCCACACUGGAACUGAGACACGGUCCAGACUCCUACGGGAGGCAGCAGUGGGGAAUAUUGGACAAUGGGCGCAAGCCUGAUCCAGCCAUACCGCGUGGGUGAAGAAGGCCUUCGGGUUGUAAAGCCCUUUUGUUGGGAAAGAAAAGCAGCAGGUUAAUACCCCGCUGUUCUGACGGUACCCAAAGAAUAAGCACCGGCUAACUUCGUG